GAGUUUGAACCUGGCUCAGGAUGAACGCUGGCGGCGUGCUUAACACAUGCAAGUCGAACGAAGCAUAGGAGUGGAAUUUUUCGGAAGGAAACAACUAUGACUGAGUGGCGGACGGGUGAGUAACGCGUGGGUAACCUGCCUCAUACAGGGGGAUAACAGUUAGAAAUGACUGCUAAUACCGCAUAAGCGCACAAAACCGCAUGGUUUGGUGUGAAAAACUGAGGUGGUAUGAGAUGGACCCGCGUCUGAUUAGCUAGUUGGAGAGGUAACGGCUCACCAAGGCAACGAUCAGUAGCCGACCUGAGAGGGUGACCGGCCACAUUGGGACUGAGACACGGCCCAAACUCCUACGGGAGGCAGCAGUGGGGAAUAUUGCACAAUGGGGGAAACCCUGAUGCAGCAACGCCGCGUGAGUGAAGAAGUAUUUCGGUAUGUAAAGCUCUAUCAGCAGGGAAGAAGAGAGACGGUACCUGACUAAGAAGCCCCGGCUAACUACGUGCCAGCAGCCGCGGUAAUACGUAGGGGGCAAGCGUUAUCCGGAUUUACUGGGUGUAAAGGGAGCGUAGACGGCUUGAUAAGUCUGAAGUGAAAGGCCAAGGCUUAACCAUGGAACUGCUUUGGAAACUAUGAGGCUAGAGUGCUGGAGAGGUAAGCGGAA
This 658-nucleotide ribosomal RNA is filed under the name uncultured bacterium. RNAcentral's name for it is "bacterial SSU rRNA". It matches the Rfam family "Bacterial small subunit ribosomal RNA", at positions 9 to 666 of the family's 1533-position model. The record is from RNAcentral.